Molecule: transfer RNA, 76 nt
Filed under: Frankiaceae bacterium
Lineage: Bacteria; Bacillati; Actinomycetota; Actinomycetes; Frankiales; Frankiaceae
Description: tRNA-Gln
Rfam family: tRNA
About the family: Transfer RNA (tRNA) molecules are approximately 80 nucleotides in length. Their secondary structure includes four short double-helical elements and three loops (D, anti-codon, and T loops).
Source: RNAcentral
UCCGCCUUGGUGUAAUUGGCAACACGGGGACCUUUGGUGUCUUCAGUUCCAGGUUCGAGUCCUGGGGGCGGAGCCA